Oncorhynchus gorbuscha (pink salmon) is the source of this 1070-nucleotide long non-coding RNA. RefSeq lists it as uncharacterized. The transcript has 2 exons. The record is from RefSeq and is a predicted model, not a curated record. Lineage: Eukaryota; Metazoa; Chordata; Actinopteri; Salmoniformes; Salmonidae.
UUAAAAAUACCCAUAAUGCACUCUCACCUGUUUGUGUGAACUAUCGUACACAUGUGUUAUAAUGUAAAACACUGACUGUGCUGUUCUCUUGACCGUUACAUAUAUUUUUUUGAAAGGCGGGGCCAUUCCAAAUACUGAGUGAUAAUUUUUUUUCUCCUUCCUGACAAUUACCAUGACAAUUGUCAUGGUAACAUAUUUGACAGACUUUGUUGACAUGGUAACGUAACAUGCUAGAGCCUCUGCUGUUCCCAUACGAUUCAGGUUUAACCGGCGUGAAUGAAUGUGCUUUGGUCUGAAAGCGAUCCAGAACGUUCUCAGGGCAGAAUGGAGCCCCCCCCCAGACCUAGCCUGGUCCCAGAUCUGUCCGUGCCUUCUUCUUGCCAACGCCUAUGGUCAUUGCCAGCCAAACAAUGCCCAUAGGAUUUGACACGACAGAACAAAUAGAUGUGGGACCAGGCUCCCUCAGACCCCCCCAGUGACUGUAUGAUGGACUGUGUGUUGUUCUGUAUGUAAGAUGUGUGAUCGAUAUGGACAGAGUUUUGAAAAGUCAUUGAGAACAUUCCACUCCAAAACCAUGAAGAAAGUUUUUUCACAAAGUCAUUGUAGGAUCCUCAUGCGAUUUCACUCACUUUAAUUCAUCUUCAAAGAAUGUCCUCUAAAAAUGUAUUGUUGCUGAAAUGCUUUAGUGAAAUAAAUAUGUCAUGUAAAAUGCAACUUCAACAUGAGGGCUUAGAGGAAUCUGGCAACUUCAACAUGAGGUCUUAGAGGAAUCUGGCAACUUCAACAUGAGGUCUUAGAGGAAUCUGGCAACUUCAACAUGAGGUCUUAGAGGAAUCUGGCAACUUCAACAUGAGGUCUUAGAGGAAUCUGGCAACUUCAACAUGAGGUCUUAGAGGAAUCUGGCAACUUCAACAUGAGGUCUUAGAGGAAUCUGGCAACUUCAACAUGAGGUCUUAGAGGAAUCUGGCAACUUCAACAUGAGGGCUUAGAGGAAUCUGGCAACUUCAACAUGAGGUCUUAGAGGAAUCUGGCAACUUCAACAUGAGGUCUUAGAGGAAUCUGGCAACUUC